AUAGAUAACAAUAAUACAAUAAGAAUAAGAUCUAUCAGUUAGUUGUUAAGGUAAUGGCUUAACAAGACUAUGACGGAUAACGGUAUUACUUUGUAAUAUUCCGGAGAAGGAGCCUGAGAGAUUGCUACUAAGUCUAAGGAUUGCAGCAGGGGCGAAACUUGACCUAUGAUAUGAUAUUGAGGCAGUUAUGAGUAGUAUUUUAUAAUUAUUGUAGUAUUGUAAGUAUAUGCUACAAGAUAAAUCGGAGGGCAAAUCGAGUGCCAGCAGCCGCGGUAAUACUUGUUCCGAUAGUGUGUAUGAUGAUUGAUGCAGUUAAAAAGUCUGUAGUUUAUAUUUAAUAAACAUUGUGAGGUAUAUUGUAUGGUUAGGAGAGAGAUGAAAUGUGAUAACCCUAACUGGAUGAACAGAAGCGAAAGCUAUAUACUUAAAUGUAUUAUUAGAACAAGGACGUAAGCUAGAGGAUCGAAGAUGAUUAGAUACCAUUGUAGUUCUAGCAGUAAACUAUGUUGAAUCAUAGAUAUACAAAUUGUGUAUUUAUGU
RNAcentral lists this ribosomal RNA (540 nucleotides) under Nosema granulosis. RNAcentral describes it as "SSU rRNA". It matches the Rfam family "Microsporidia small subunit ribosomal RNA", at positions 140 to 725 of the family's 1311-position model. Lineage: Eukaryota; Fungi; Microsporidia; Nosematidae. The record is from RNAcentral.